This 446-nucleotide ribosomal RNA is filed under the name uncultured bacterium. RNAcentral describes it as "partial 16S ribosomal RNA". It matches the Rfam family "Bacterial small subunit ribosomal RNA", at positions 338 to 795 of the family's 1533-position model. The record is from RNAcentral.
CCUACGGGUGGCAGCAGUCGAGAAUCAUUCACAAUGGGGGAAACCCUGAUGGUGCGACGCCGCGUGGGGGAAUGAAGGUCUUCGGAUUGUAAACCCCUGUCAUGUGGGAGCAAAUUAAAAAGAUAGUACCACAAGAGGAAGAGACGGCUAACUCUGUACCAGCAGCCGCGGUAAUACAGAGGUCUCAAGCGUUGUUCGGAAUCACUGGGCGUAAAGCGUGCGUAGGCUGUUUCGUAAGUCGUGUGUGAAAGGCGCGGGCUCGACCCGCGGACGGCACAUGAUACUGCGAGACUAGAGUAAGGGAGGGGGAACCGGAAUUCUCGGUGUAGCAGUGAAAUGCGUAGAUAUCGAGAGGAACACUCGUGGCGAAGGCGGGUUCCUGGACAUUAACUGACGCUGAGGCACGAAGGCCAGGGGAGCGAAAGGGAUUAGAUACCCCAGUAGUC